RNAcentral lists this unclassified non-coding RNA (337 nucleotides) under soil metagenome. RNAcentral describes it as "partial contains 5.8S ribosomal RNA, internal transcribed spacer 2, and large subunit ribosomal RNA". The stretch from base 1 to 120 matches the Rfam family "5.8S ribosomal RNA", at positions 35 to 154 of the family's 154-position model. The record is from RNAcentral.
GAUGAAGAACGCAGCGAAAUGAGAUAAGUAAUGCGAAUUGCAGAUUUCAGUGAGUCAUCGAAUCUUUGAACGCACAUUGCGCCCGCCAGUAUUCUGGCGGGCAUGCCUGUUCGAGCGUCAUUUCAACCAUCAAGCCCCCGGGCUUGCGUUGGGGCCCUGCGGCUGCCGCAGGCCCCGAAAAGCAGUGGCGGGCUCGCUGUCACACCGAGCGCAGUAGCGAUUCUCGCUCCGGGCGUCGGCGGCGGGCACCGGCCGUGAAACCCCCCCACAUCCACAAGGUUGACCUCGGAUCAGGCAGGAAUACCCGCUGAACUUAAGCAUAUCAAUAAGCGGAGGA